AACGAACGCUGGCGGCAUGCCUAACACAUGCAAGUCGAACGAGACCUUCGGGUCUAGUGGCGCACGGGUGCGUAACGCGUGGGAACCUGCCCUUAGGUUCGGAAUAACUCCCCGAAAGGGGUGCUGAUACCGGAUAAUGUCUUCGGACCAAAGAUUUAUCGCCUUUGGAUGGGCCCGCGUUGGAUUAGCUAGUUGGUAGGGUAAAAGCCUACCAAGGCGACGAUCCAUAGCUGGUCUGAGAGGAUGAUCAGCCACGCUGGGACUGAGACACGGCCCAGACUCCUACGGGAGGCAGCAGUGGGGAAUAUUGGACAAUGGGCGAAAGCCUGAUCCAGCAAUGCCGCGUGAGUGAUGAAGGCCUUAGGGUUGUAAAGCUCUUUUACCCGGGAUGAUAAUGACAGUACCGGGAGAAUAAGCUCCGGCUAACUCCGUG
RNAcentral lists this ribosomal RNA (433 nucleotides) under uncultured bacterium. RNAcentral's name for it is "partial 16S ribosomal RNA". It matches the Rfam family "Bacterial small subunit ribosomal RNA", at positions 29 to 507 of the family's 1533-position model. The record is from RNAcentral.